UACGGGGGGGGGCAAGCGUUGUUCGGAAUUACUGGGCGUAAAGGGCUCGUAGGCGGCCAACUAAGUCAGACGUGAAAUCCCUCGGCUUAACCGGGGAACUGCGUCUGAUACUGGAUGGCUUGAGUUUGGGAGAGGGAUGCGGAAUUCCAGGUGUAGCGGUGAAAUGCGUAGAUAUCUGGAAGAACACCCGUGGCGAAGGCGGGUCUCUGGGCAACAACUGACGCUGAGGAGCGAAAGCGUGGGGAGCGAACAGG
RNAcentral lists this ribosomal RNA (254 nucleotides) under uncultured bacterium. RNAcentral's name for it is "partial 16S ribosomal RNA". It matches the Rfam family "Bacterial small subunit ribosomal RNA", at positions 524 to 776 of the family's 1533-position model. The record is from RNAcentral.